This 535-nucleotide ribosomal RNA is filed under the name Lewia sp. CID245. RNAcentral describes it as "eukaryotic LSU rRNA". The stretch from base 166 to 319 matches the Rfam family "5.8S ribosomal RNA". The record is from RNAcentral. Lineage: Eukaryota; Fungi; Ascomycota; Dothideomycetes; Pleosporales; Pleosporaceae.
CGCUGGGCACUGCUUCACGGCGUGCGCGGCGGGGCCGGCCCUGCUGAAUUAUUCACCCGUGUCUUUUGCGUACUUCUUGUUUCCUGGGUGGGCUCGCCCGCCCUCAGGACCAACCACAAACCUUUUGCAAUAGCAAUCAGCGUCAGUAACAACGUAAUUAAUUACAACUUUCAACAACGGAUCUCUUGGUUCUGGCAUCGAUGAAGAACGCAGCGAAAUGCGAUACGUAGUGUGAAUUGCAGAAUUCAGUGAAUCAUCGAAUCUUUGAACGCACAUUGCGCCCUUUGGUAUUCCAAAGGGCAUGCCUGUUCGAGCGUCAUUUGUACCCUCAAGCUUUGCUUGGUGUUGGGCGUCUUUUGUCUCCAGUUCGCUGGAGACUCGCCUUAAAGUCAUUGGCAGCCGGCCUACUGGUUUCGGAGCGCAGCACAAGUCGCGCUCUUUGCCAGCCAAGGUCAGCGUCCAGCAAGCCUUUUUUUCAACCUUUGACCUCGGAUCAGGUAGGGAUACCCGCUGAACUUAAGCAUAUCAAUAAGCG